AGUCCCUUCUGUUGUCUGUCAGCCCUUCUACUUCAGAGAUGGUGACAGAUAUUGAAAAUCAAAUCGAUAAGCAGCUUCAAGACAGACUGAAUCAGGAGGAGGUGGCUACAGCUCCUCUGGCCAAGGAGCUGGAAUCAGAUACUCCGUCCUUUGCUCUUGGUGCCGAGGAUCCUGAAGUGACCGAAGUCCUUGCGCUGUGGACAUGCUCUUCAAGGAUAGAAGAAAGGCUGAAGUUAUAAUUGGGCGAAUCGUAAAGCCAAGUUGCCUUUACCCUCAGAGUUGUUCUGUUCUCUCCCAGGGACAAAUACCCAAAUUUCUGGGUAAUCUAGAGGAAAGGCCCGGCCGUCCUACUCUGGGAAGUCCUUCCUAACGUCUAUCCUGCAUUUCUUUCUGUUCCAAUAGAUUUCCCCACCUCG
This is a long non-coding RNA of Bubalus bubalis (water buffalo), 416 nucleotides long. RefSeq lists it as uncharacterized. The transcript is spliced from 2 exons. NCBI's taxonomy places the organism in Eukaryota, Metazoa, Chordata, Mammalia, Artiodactyla, Bovidae. The record is from RefSeq and is a predicted model, not a curated record.